RNAcentral lists this long non-coding RNA (1254 nucleotides) under Apteryx rowi (Okarito brown kiwi). RNAcentral's name for it is "lncRNA (ENSARWG00000006683.1)". The record is from RNAcentral. Lineage: Eukaryota; Metazoa; Chordata; Aves; Apterygiformes; Apterygidae.
AUGCUUCUGUAUUAACAUCACACUUAAAUACUACAGUCUACUUUUCUUCUGAAUUACAAUCAACUCUGGAGGCCAUUACCCAGGAAAGCAAUUAGUUUAUAAGAUAAUGUGUGACAAUGAACCAUGGUAACGCAAGCUAACUUUGGCCAAAGAAGACCAGAAAAAGAGUUUUAUUUUUGUUUAGGGGAAAAAAAAGAGAGGAGAAAUAGCAGUUUAGUCAUCAAAAUAUGUCAUUGCUUUGUACUGAAUAUCUAGGACUUUUAUUGAUCUCUCUGAUCCUUAUUUCUUACAGAUUUGGCAUCACCAACCAGCACAAAAGAACAGGUUUAGAUCUGUGGACUUUAAUUAUGUUUUCUUAAAAGCUCAUACUAAAUUACAUUAUUAGAGGAACACAAAUUAGUACCACUUAGGUGAAAGCCAAUUAUUUAAGAGCACUCAAGCAUUUUUUUAAACACCAUUAAAUCACACUCACAAAAGCUACCAGAUUCUCAGAAGCAAAGGGAUUAUCUUUCCUAGUACACUGUGUUAAAAUAUCUAAAUUCAGUUCUAAAAAAUCUAAAUUUUAUUAAAUAGGAAAUUACAUAUUCUAAUCUUCUCCCCACUCUCAUUUUGCUUCGCAUAAUUUACGCUGUUGUCUUUGCUGUUUACCCAAGAAGGGGCCAUAGACCACCUGGAUGUGCUAUUUUAAAGCAGACCACUUCUAAGCAUCUGCCCUGCCCUAGGGCCAGUUGUCACCACUCCCAUUACCACAUCAGCAGAGGCAGAGACUCCUUCCGCCUUAGCCACUUCAGCUCAUAAAUUGGUGUUUCAGGGUGAAGUCACAUGAAACUGGAAGAACUGAUUUCUUCUAAGAUAUAUGGUCAGUAACCAGUGGCAGACGAACCAGGCAGGCAUUUUUUGCAGCAAUACUCGCCAGUUCUCAUCCAUUAAAGCCAUUUAAAGUUAUACAGGAAUGGAAUAACGUCAUCAAAAGCUCCCGCGCAGCAAGAGCGGGCUGAGCACGGUAGGGCACGUGACCGGAAGGGGCGCGCGAGGGGCGGGGCAACAACGGCCGCACCUGUCACCGCCGCCUCCUCUCCCUCACAACCACCGCAACCUCCACACUGCCACAGUCAGUACAGCUGCACCACUGCCACUCCGCCGCAACCUCCACACCGUCACAACCAGUAUAGCUACACCACUGCCACUCUGCCAGAACCGCCACACUGCCACAACCAGUACAGCUGUACCACUCCCACACCACCACAACCGCCA